Long non-coding RNA from Perca fluviatilis (European perch), 231 nucleotides. RefSeq lists it as uncharacterized. The transcript has 3 exons. The record is from RefSeq and is a predicted model, not a curated record. Lineage: Eukaryota; Metazoa; Chordata; Actinopteri; Perciformes; Percidae.
GCCAAUCAGGAGCCUGGGAGGACUGGCCCUGUGACAUGGAGAGAGCGUUCAUUUGCUACGGUCCAGUGGUGUCUACUUCAAAGAAAGUGAUGAAAGUGAAGUUUGAGAACAAGAAGAAUCUGGAUCUGAAUGACCCUGCUGUGAUGGAGGCCAUGUUGAAGCAGCUGAAACAGAAGCUGAGGGCCCAGGGGCUGGACCACAACAUCAAACUGAGCUGGAGGAAGCAGGCCG